ACAGUGGUGGUUGAGUGGUAGAAUUCUCACCUUCCAUGUAGGAGACCAGGGUUUGAUUCCUGGCCAAUGCA
This 71-nucleotide transfer RNA is filed under the name Loxodonta africana (African savanna elephant). It matches the Rfam family "tRNA". From Rfam's summary of the family: Transfer RNA (tRNA) molecules are approximately 80 nucleotides in length. Their secondary structure includes four short double-helical elements and three loops (D, anti-codon, and T loops). Lineage: Eukaryota; Metazoa; Chordata; Mammalia; Proboscidea; Elephantidae. The record is from Rfam by way of RNAcentral.